CGGCUUGAUGAAGAUGAUAUUGUGUCUUAUUUUCUUACUGGGCUUGAUUCUGAAUAUAAUCUGCUUAUUGAGGCUAUGAGUGCAAGAAUUGACCCUAUUAGUUUAAGUGAUCUUUAUGCUCAACUCUUAUCCAUUGAGA
Molecule: small nucleolar RNA, 139 nt
Organism: Phragmites australis (common reed)
Lineage: Eukaryota; Viridiplantae; Streptophyta; Magnoliopsida; Poales; Poaceae
Product: small nucleolar RNA Z247
Exons: 1
Source: RefSeq, a predicted model, not a curated record